GACGAACGCUGGCGGCGUGCUUAACACAUGCAAGUCGAACGGAAAGGCCCUGCUUUUGUGGGGGGCUCGAGUGGCGAACGGGUGAGUAACACGUGAGUAACCUGCCCUUGACUUUGGGAUAACUUCAGGAAACUGGGGCUAAUACCGGAUAGGAGCUCCUGCUGCAUGGUGGGGGUUGGAAAGUGUCGGCGGUUGGGGAUGGACUCGCGGCUUAUCAGCUUGUUGGUGGGGUAGUGGCUUACCAAGGCUUUGACGGGUAGCCGGCCUGAGAGGGUGACCGGCCACAUUGGGACUGAGAUACGGCCCAGACUCCUACGGGAGGCAGCAGUGGGGAAUAUUGCACAAUGGGCGGAAGGCUGAUGCAGCAACGCCGCGUGCGGGAUGACGGCCUUCGGGUUGUAAACCGCUUUCGCCUGUGACGAAGCGUGAGUGACGGUAAUUGGUAAAGAAGCACCGGCUAACUACGUG
This 468-nucleotide ribosomal RNA is filed under the name uncultured bacterium. RNAcentral describes it as "partial 16S ribosomal RNA". It matches the Rfam family "Bacterial small subunit ribosomal RNA", at positions 28 to 507 of the family's 1533-position model. The record is from RNAcentral.